This 254-nucleotide ribosomal RNA is filed under the name uncultured bacterium. RNAcentral describes it as "partial 16S ribosomal RNA". It matches the Rfam family "Bacterial small subunit ribosomal RNA", at positions 524 to 776 of the family's 1533-position model. The record is from RNAcentral.
GACAGAGGGUGCAAACGUUGCUCGGAAUUACUGGGCGUAAAGGGCGUGUAGGCGGGAAGGCAAGUCGGGCGUGAAAUCCCCAGGCUCAACCUGGGAACUGCACUCGAAACUGCCUUUCUUGAGUGUCGGAGAGGAAAGCGGAAUUCCUGGUGUAGAGGUGAAAUUCGUAGAUAUCAGGAGGAACACCAGUGGCGAAGGCGGCUUUCUGGACGAUAACUGACGCUGAGACGCGAAAGCGUGGGGGAGCAAACAGG